This 3926-nucleotide long non-coding RNA is filed under the name Sus scrofa (pig). RNAcentral's name for it is "lncRNA (ENSSSCG00050045913.1)". The record is from RNAcentral. Lineage: Eukaryota; Metazoa; Chordata; Mammalia; Artiodactyla; Suidae.
AAAGAAUGAAAAAAAGAACAGCUCACAACUCUUACUUGACUUCUUGAAUCAGCUGGUGGAAUCCUAUGGAUUGAAUUCAAGAAUGGUAAGUAUAUACCAACGUGGUGCAGGGUUAAUGGACAUUUUGAAGUGAGCAAGUUAUGUUGUUUUCUCAUUUGCAUGGUGAAGUGGAGAGUGAGAGAGGGAAAAACAAGGUGCACCUAUAAUGCUUCAACAUUACAAGUAGGUUCAGUAAAGAUUUGGAUAAACUCGAAGAUGAUGGAUCUAUAACCAAUACGUCUGUAAGAAGUUAGGGCUGUUGUGGUUGAUGUUUUAAGACAGCGUGUUUUGAAGGAACUAAACAUUUUGUGUAGAGUUAUCUGAUGCCGUUUCUAGAAAGAGUUGGAGUGUUGUUCUCAUCCUUACUGAUAUCUGCUGUGCUCUUCGUGUUUGAACUUUGGAUUUCCUUUUGGGCUUAGCUCUCUCAGGCAGUCUCUAAACUUUCCUUUUAUCAUGCUUCCUGACUGAUGGAUCUAAUAGUAAUAUCAAAGCAGAUAAUGUAAAUAUACCCUUAGUAAAACUUCACCCCUGGGAUGGGAUCAGUUUUUUCCUGUUACCAUUGACUUAUGAAGAUCCUGGUAUACUUACUACUGACAACCUCCAGUGGUCUUAACAUGUGUAAAGCACAUGACAUGAGAGCUCAGAUAUGGCUGAAUAAAGGCUGUUUAAAAAGAGUGUCAUUGGAUAUAAGGGAACUUAGUCACAGUAUUUAGUUUUAAUGAGAACCAAUUGAGCAACAGCAUUAAAUAUUUUUUAAAGCUGUAACAGUACUUAGGUCAGUCGUGGUAUCUGCCUCAUUUCCAGGCCUUUUUAAAUGAAUCUUGUUCAUUUAUAGUCACUGCUUGAAGAGCAGCCCUUUGCAGCCUCAUUUUCUUCUACUCACCCUCUCAUCCUGCAGCAGCGCAAGGAGAGGGACCUGGUUUAAGGGCAGAGAAUUCGUACAUGGUGAUGUGUCAUGACUAGCUGAUUCUCUUUCAGGAAUUUAAGCUGGAAAAAGUGGACAGAAUUACGUAUAUAAUUACAAGUUAAAGGAAUAUUAUAUACUGCAUAAAUGAACCUUUCCACAGAAAGGAAACUCUUGAACUUGGAGAACAGACUUGUGGUUGCCAAGGGGGAGGGGGAGGGCGUGGAAUGGACUUGGAGUUUGGGGUUCAUAGAUGUAAACUAUCGCUUUUGGAGGAUAAGCAAUGAGAUCCUGCUGGAUGGCACUGGGAACUCUAUCUGGUCACUUGUGAUGGAGCAUGACAGAGGGUAAUGUGAGAAAAAGAAUGUGUGUGUGUAUAUAUAUAUAUAUAUAUAUAUAUAUAUAUAUAUAUGUUCGUGUGUGUGUGUAUGACUGUUUCAUUUUGCUGUACAGUAGAAAAUUGACAGAACACUGUAAACCAACGAUAAUGGAAAGAAAUAAAAAUCAUUAAAAAAUGGAGUAUAAAAAACUUUGUAAGAAAUGCAAACAUAUGACAAUAGGGUCAGUAUUAUAAGCAAGCAAGUGGAAAAUUUCUAGGUUCUGCUAGAAACUGCAACUGGUUCAACAGUAAUGCAGUCUGUGUUCCCCAGAGAAGCAUUUCAAUUUUCAGAACUGGUCAAACUUAUAACUGAGGCUUAGGGUGUGGAAAGGAUAGAACCACCAUUUUCUAACUGUGAAUACAUGUGUCUGUGUGUAAUAUCCAGUUCAUCCCUAGAGAUGCUAAUUAUUCUUUAAGAAUGUGGUAAUGAGGUGAAACAUUCUGUGUGCCGUCAGGAGUCAUAGAUCAUAUUUCGUAUCACUCAUUUAAAUCAGAGCAUUCAUUUUCAUUACAAGAUAGAGUCAGCGAUAGAAACAGAGGCAAACUAUGGGGAAAAUAAAGUUUAGCAAGUACGGACAGUAAGCCACACAAUAGUUGGCUCUUAGAAUGCUGACCUCAUUUACUUGUAGCCAGACUUGUUGAAAGAUGACUAGCAGAAGAAAAACAAAAAUCCCCUCUGUAGUGCAAUAUUCAUGUUAAUAGCCCUUAGCAAGGAAAAAACAUAAAUUUCAAGUUAAAUGCCAUAAAAGAUAAUUCUUUUGAAUGCAGUGUCAAGCCAGUGGGGAGAAAGGGGUCAUAGUGUCCACUUUUGUAUUAUUCCUCAACAUUCAUUUACCAAACACCUGUCAUGUCAAGAUAUAAAUGAAGAAGUAGACUUUGUUCAGAAAGCUUAUGGUGUGUGUAACCGAGAGCUAGGGAUAAAUCUCAUAGGUGAGAGUAAGCUGCAUCCUACGUUUAAUGAAUGUGUUCAUGCUCUGAUUUGUGUUUCAUCUUUCUCCUCCUCCGUCUGCCUCAGUCACAGAUUAGAAGACAGGCUGGAAAAAAUAAGACCUUUCAGAGGAGAGGGCUGAUUGGUUUGACAGGCAAGCACCUGUGGAAAUGAGUAGGUGAAGGUGGCUUAGGCUGCUGGCACCACCUCUGACAAGAGAAAAGCAAGAAAGUAGGCAGGUAAAGCCUGAUAGUUUGUAUUCAGGACAGUGAUGGAAUUGAGUGCAUGUUCUUAUGCUGCACCUGCCGCUUGAAUGAGUGAGUAAACAAGCAAAAUUAAGGGUUUCGGUUUUAUAAGUUAAUGCAAAAUGUAGCAUAUCUAAGUCUUUAAGAAAUUAGGGUGUUAGGUACAUACUCUCAAAGUGAAAAUGGCUGGUACGAGUUAAUGGAAAAAACAUAGGCUUUGGAGACAGAAAGACAUGAAGACAUGGAUUAAUCUAUUAUAUGAUAGAAAAGAUGAAAGGAGAUACAAUUUGUAAAAUAUCUAGCACAUGGCAGGUUAUAAUCCUAAAAGAUUUAUUAUUUUUGUCUUCAAUAACAAUUAUAACUAGUAUAAUCUUAAAUUUGAUUCUUGAGAGAAAUUUUAUGUAGUAUUUCCUAUGAUAUCAUUGUUGCUAAGAACACCCUGUCCAUAUACUUUGGGAGUGAAGAGACUUUCUCAGCGAACUGUAAGAAUUUAUAAUGUGCUAGGUGAAAGUAUAGUCUAAUUGCCGAGAAAUCAUUAGCUUAUCAAAUGAGAAGUAAUGGGGUAAGGCAGACGAGUCUUGGUCGUUAAGGGAUGUGUGUGGGCAGCUGUAUUAGUUAGCUUUUGCUGUGUGACAAAUUAUCCCGAAACUUAUUAGUGUUUUUAAACAGUAAUCAUUUAAUAAAGUUCAUAGUUCUGUGGGCCAGCAGUUUUGGUGGAGCUCAGCCGGGGGGCGGGGGGUUCUUGUGGUCUUGGCUGGUUUCCUUGGUGUGUCUUUGAUAAGCUGCUUAGUCAGCUAGGAUCUGGCUACUCAAGUAUGAUUUCAGGGGGGAUGGCUUGUUCUGCUCCUUGUGGCCUUCCAUCCUCCAGGAUGCUAACCUAGGGUUCUUCCAAGAGAUGUGAGGGGUUAUAAGAGACUGAAGGGGAGUGUGCAGAUGCCCUUAAAGUCUACUCUUGGAACUGGCAUACGGUUACUUCUGUCACAUUUUGUUGGCCAAAGCAAGUAACAAGGCCCAUCUAGAUUGGGGGUGGGGAAGUAGGCUUUGACUCCUGGUGGGAAGCAGAGUCACAUUGCAGAGGGCGUGCGUGUGGCCAUUUUUGCAAAGUGCUACAGCAGGGAAGGGCGUUCUGGUAGAUUUUAUGAGGAGAGCAAAAGAUCUUGAGAAGAAACUCCAAGAGACUGGUUCCACCUAACGCAACAGUUUUCGCAACAGAAAUGUUUAGAAAGGCCCUAAAGGGUGAUGUAGAACUUGAUGGGAACUCUGAAUUCCAAAGAAAGGUGCAGAUGAGGAUUUGAAUUUUUUCAGAGAGAAUAUAUGUUUAAGGUAAGGUAAGCUUUUCUGUAGAUAAAAGAAAUUAAUUUUAGAGAGAAAAGAAAUUAUAAAAUGUUGAAGACAACAGCUGAGUAAUUGCAAUAUGGAGAAAGUCAAGUG